AUUGAACGCUGGCGGUAGGCCUAACACAUGCAAGUCGAACGGCAGCACAAUAAGCGUUUGUUUUUCCCGGUGGCGUGUGGCCGGGGGGUGAGGUAUCCAGCGGACUCCCCUUUUUCGGGGGGUAUAUCGUAGAGAGACUUACGAUAACACCGUAUACUCCCAAACGCAAAAAGGGGGACCUCUUGGCACCUUGCCCUCUUGAAUGCCCCGAUGUCGGAUUAGAUAGUUGGCGGGGUAACGGCCCACCAAGGCGACGAUCCGUAGCUGGUCUGAGAGGAUGAUCAGCCACACUGGAACUGAGACACGGUCCAGACUCCUACGGGAGGCAGCAGUGGGGAAUAUUGGACAAUGGGCGCAAGCCUGAUGCAGCCAUACCGCGUGUAUGAAGAAGGCCUUCGGGUUGUAAAGUCCUUUUAUCGGGAAUGAAGAGAGUAAAGUUAAUACCUCUCCGCACUGACGUUACCCAAAGAAGAAGCACCGGCUAACUUCGUG
This 492-nucleotide ribosomal RNA is filed under the name uncultured bacterium. Its description in RNAcentral is "partial 16S ribosomal RNA". It matches the Rfam family "Bacterial small subunit ribosomal RNA", at positions 30 to 507 of the family's 1533-position model. The record is from RNAcentral.